UCCGAUUCUAUUUCUAACCGUUUAGUCCGAUUGCUUUUCCGAUUCGGUUAUAUCUUCUCGAUUUUAUCUCUAACAGCUAAAUCAAAAUUUCGCCCUUAACAACUUUGUUAAUUAAUUGAUUAGUGGUACUUUAUAAUUUUGUUUUUUUAGGAAUAAAGAUCAUAAUAAGAAGGAUAGUAUUACCUCUUCAAAUUUCUACUACACUUAAUAUUGUUGGUAGUAUAAUUUAAUUAUAGUCAUUCGAUAAAAAUAGAUCAACGCUGUCGAUUAAAUUUGAUAAAAAUAGAUCAACAUUGUCGAUUAAAUUUAAUGAAAGCAGAAUGCACCGGAAACGGACCUACGAAUAUAUUACUUUUGUGCCAGUAUAAAAUCGCUGUGGCAAAAUAUCAUGAGUUGGCUGAUAUUUUGGCACUGAAGAGUGAGGGCGUGGCACGCAAGUUCAUCCAACAGACGAGAAAAAGGCAACACCAACAUGUCGACCAACCAGAAGAGCUCCUUCGAUGGCGACGCCUCCCGAAACGAUAAACACGCCCGCCCGCCGCAACCUCAAUUCCACCGGCGCCCCACCGAGCUCGCCCGCCGCCGCGAUCCACUGAACUGAGCGUUCUCGCUUUCCCGCGCGGACUGGACGGCGUGGCGCCGUCGUUCUAUAUCUACCCCUCCUCGCUCCCUCGCCGCCGUGGAAUCUUGGAAGCCUUGCUUGCUGUUUGCUGCUCGUGCAUGGUGGUGGUGACAGCGAGUGGGGAGAGGAGGAGACCAUGCUGAGGGCAGUGCGCCCGAGGCUGGGGCUGCCGNN
This 796-nucleotide long non-coding RNA is filed under the name Oryza brachyantha (malo sina). RNAcentral's name for it is "long non-coding RNA (OBRA_LNC001754)". Lineage: Eukaryota; Viridiplantae; Streptophyta; Magnoliopsida; Poales; Poaceae. The record is from RNAcentral.